This 302-nucleotide unclassified non-coding RNA is filed under the name uncultured Sebacinales. RNAcentral describes it as "sequence contains 5.8S rRNA gene". Lineage: Eukaryota; Fungi; Basidiomycota; Agaricomycetes; Sebacinales. The record is from RNAcentral.
GAACGCACCUUGCACCCUUUGGUAUUCCGAAGGGUACACCCGUUUGAGUGUCAUUGUAAUCUCACACCCUCAGACUUUUGUCGAAAGGGAGGUGGACUUGGAUGCUGUCGUGUCACUACGACUCGUCUCAAAUGCAUGAGUGUACCCUGCGUCCGCAGCGUAUUCGGUGUGAUAAGCAUCUUCACCGGAGUAGUGCCUUUGGGCUCGCGCUUGCAAAUGUUGGGCUCUGCGCUUCAAACCGUCCUUGGACAGCAACUGACAAUUUGACCUCAAAUCGGGUGGGACUACCCGCUGAACUUAAG